Molecule: long non-coding RNA, 1231 nt
Organism: Gallus gallus (chicken)
Lineage: Eukaryota; Metazoa; Chordata; Aves; Galliformes; Phasianidae
Source: Ensembl
GUUAACUCUUGUACUUGCAAGCUUAGCAGGUGUUCCUAGAAAUGAUCAAACUAAGCUGUGGAGUAAACACAGAUUAGAAAAUACCUGCACUGGACAUCUCUCUGAACACGAAGGCAGUGGCCCUUGGUGGUUUCUACAGGGAUAACUGCUGUUCAUGGAGCAUUUGUUGGAUGCAGAAGCUGAAAAACCUGUGCAGUGAGGCAAGCCAGCACAGCUCAGUGUGUGGACUUUCAGGAGCUUCUCUGCAAUAAGGAAGCAGGAAAGCCUUCUAGAGAAAGAAAUUGUGUGAAGGCAUCUCUGAAGCAAAUUGCUUUUAGUGUGUACAACAUUGAGGUGCAAGUCUUCUCUUAAAUUACAAACUGUUUCUCUGUGCAUUGGCUGCUUCAUAAAUAUAUUUAAUACUAUGCUAUCCCCAAGGGGCACCUGAUUUACCUCUGUAAGUGAUAAAUUAUUUCAUAAAAUCAUCACUGAUCAUUGAAACUUGCCUUUGUUUUCAGCUUUGAAUGGAAAAGACCUUCCUGGGCAUUUCUGGUCCCUCUACCAGUUCUAGCUGCAUGAAAUCCUCUUUAGUAUAAUCUUAAUGAACAAUUGAAGCACCCUGAAAUAGCUGGAAACUUCAUUUCUAGUUUUGGAUAUCAAAAUGCACUAAGAAAUCCUCAAAUGUUUUUUGACUUAUUUGGAAUUGGUUGAUAUAAAAUGACCCCAAGAUAUUAAGCUAUUUACUUACAAUUCAAAUAAACAUUUAAGCACUGACAUUUUAAAUCUUUGGACCUUGGGUGCCAAUGAAGCAAUUUACUUGACACAUGGCAAGCCACAGAUUUGUGUCAUAGUGCAGAGGCACCAAGUCUGAGGUGGAAAUUCACCUUCAUUGUGCUCAGUUGGCUAGUGCUGGAUUAACAGCAGGACCUAAUAAGCCAUGGACUGGUGCUCAUGCAUGCUUAAGUUAAGAGUAAGAUGGCAUUCUGGGCCAGUACUGACUGUUGCCACCAGCUUCCUGUAGGUACUCUAAAUCAGGGCAGUAUCACCUCAUUAUUGUUUUUAAUGAAUAUUAAUUCUCACUGAGUCAGCUACGUGAGUUGGGCUUAUCCAACAUGCUGCAGAACUGUCAUAUGUCCUGAACAGCAAAUGGAACAGAUCUUUCUUAAGGAAAAAAUAAUACUCUUAUACUGCUAUUUAUCUGGAUGUUAUGUACAAGUAUAAAACAUCUGUCAAAGAAUAAAAGUUAUUAACU